RNAcentral lists this ribosomal RNA (253 nucleotides) under uncultured prokaryote. RNAcentral's name for it is "partial 16S ribosomal RNA". It matches the Rfam family "Bacterial small subunit ribosomal RNA", at positions 525 to 777 of the family's 1533-position model. The record is from RNAcentral.
ACGUAGGUGGCAAGCGUUGUCCGGAUUUAUUGGGUUUAAAGGGCGCGUAGGCGGCUUUCUAAGUCAAAGGUGAAAUCCCUCGGCUCAACUGAGGAACUGCCUUUGAAACUGGAAGGCUUGAGGCCGGGAGGGGGUAGCGGAAUUCCCAGUGUAGCGGUGAAAUGCGUAGAUAUUGGGAGGAACACCAGUGGCGAAGGCGGCUACCUGGACCGGUACUGACGCUGAUGCGCGAAAGCGUGGGUAGCAAACAGGA